This is a long non-coding RNA of Haliotis rubra (blacklip abalone), 150 nucleotides long. RefSeq lists it as uncharacterized. The transcript has 2 exons. Lineage: Eukaryota; Metazoa; Mollusca; Gastropoda; Lepetellida; Haliotidae. The record is from RefSeq and is a predicted model, not a curated record.
GGAUUCAGAUGUAGUAUCUGUAAGAAAGGUACUAAAAUGUAAAGGUGGAUAUACUGUUCAUCAGCAGAUGACUUGAAGUCAAAAGAAACGGAGACCAUUCAGUCAUUUCUACAGAUUUCCAAGCACGAAUGCUCUUAAGUUCAGCUGAGA